AUCACGUACGAUCACCGAAGUUAAGCAACGUCGAGCCCUGUCAGUACCUAGAUGGGUGACCGCUUGGGAAUACCGGGUACU
Acanthosepion pharaonis is the source of this 81-nucleotide non-coding RNA. Lineage: Eukaryota; Metazoa; Mollusca; Cephalopoda; Sepiida; Sepiidae. The record is from the annotation of a GenBank genome assembly.